UGAACGCUGGCGGUAGGCCUAACACAUGCAAGUCGAACGGCAGCACAGUAAGAGCUUGCUCUUACGGGUGGCGAGUGGCGGACGGGUGAGGAAUACAUCGGAAUCUACUUUUUCGUGGGGGAUAACGUAGGGAAACUUACGCUAAUACCGCAUACGACCUACGGGUGAAAGCAGGGGAUCUUCGGACCUUGCGCGAUUGAAUGAGCCGAUGUCGGAUUAGCUAGUUGGCGGGGUAAAGGCCCACCAAGGCGACGAUCCGUAGCUGGUCUGAGAGGAUGAUCGGCCACACUGGAACUGAGACACGGUCCAGACUCCUACGGGAGGCAGCAGUGGGGAAUAUUGGACAGUGGGCGCAAGCCUGAUCCAGCCAUACCGCGUGGGUGAAGAAGGCCUUCGGGUUGUAAAGCCCUUUUGUUGGGAAAGAAAAGCAGCAGGUUAAUACCCCGCUGUUCUGACGGUACCCAAAGAAUAAGCACCGGCUAACUUCGU
RNAcentral lists this ribosomal RNA (489 nucleotides) under uncultured bacterium. Its description in RNAcentral is "partial 16S ribosomal RNA". It matches the Rfam family "Bacterial small subunit ribosomal RNA", at positions 30 to 506 of the family's 1533-position model. The record is from RNAcentral.